This is a long non-coding RNA of Quercus lobata, 695 nucleotides long. RefSeq lists it as uncharacterized. The record is from RefSeq and is a predicted model, not a curated record. The transcript has 2 exons. Lineage: Eukaryota; Viridiplantae; Streptophyta; Magnoliopsida; Fagales; Fagaceae.
UUUUCAAAGUCCCGCCACUCAACACGCUUUACCUUUAUGCAAAAUCAAAACUUUCUCUCUCUCUCUCUCUUGCACACCAGUACACACCAGCACCUCCAUCUACUCUCUCUCUCUCUCAACUCCAAAGCUCGACAGCCACUGCCUAGCAUCGCCUCCGGAGAUGGAGGCACUCCGUCGAACAUCACCAAUUCCAACUAGACCUGCCUUUGUCUCGUCGGAAAAUGCUUAAAAUCAUCUCUCCUUCUCAUUGUUUCCAACCCCCAACACCGAAAGUUUUCUCACCGCUUCUGACACCUGACGUUGCAAGAAGGUUGUCCAUUAUUACCAAUCUUUGUUUUUCUCUUCAAAAACUCUAUGUUGAGUGUAUGCGAUGAUCGGAGAGUUGAUGAGCUAGAAGACUUGGGAGUUUGGCGAUAGCAGCUGAGAGAGCUGCUUGGGCUUGCUGAAGAAUUUAGAACGCGAUGAGAUUUUGGAGUUGGCUUUUGCCAUCAGUGCCAGUCUCUUCUCCACACUUGUAUUCACUCCCUUGUCAACCCUAAGAAUUACCCAUCACCAUCACCACCUUUCUGUUUUUUUUUUUUUUCUUUUUGGGUUUGUUAAUUCGAUUCAUGAGUACUGUUUGUCCACUAAUUAUAGUGUACCAACUGGGUUAGCAUGUUUUUCUUGAAUUCUAAUACUUAAUUGGGGUUUGAUUC